Molecule: ribosomal RNA, 253 nt
Filed under: uncultured bacterium
Lineage: Bacteria
Description: partial 16S ribosomal RNA
Rfam family: Bacterial small subunit ribosomal RNA
Source: RNAcentral
UACAGGGGGUGCAAACGUUGCUCGGAAUUAUUGGGCGUAAAGCGCGCGUAGGCGGCUACCUAAGUCGGAUGUGAAAGCCCCUGGCUUAACCGGGGAAGUGCACCCGAAACUGGGUAGCUAGAGUGCAAAAGAGGGUCGCGGAAUUCCCAGUGUAGAGGUGAAAUUCGUAGAUAUUGGGAGGAACACCGGUGGCGAAGGCGGCGACCUGGGUCGAGACUGACGCUGAGGCGCGAAAGCGUGGGGAGCAAACAGG